This is a non-coding RNA of Capsicum annuum, 107 nucleotides long. The record is from Rfam. Lineage: Eukaryota; Viridiplantae; Streptophyta; Magnoliopsida; Solanales; Solanaceae.
UGAUGAUGGCGAGGGCACUUUCUAAGCUUACCCUUAAGUCUUUCCCAUGCUUUGAAAAUAUUUUCUCCUUCUUUCAGGCUGAAAGUCAAAAUCUCUCUUCUCAAAUA